UAAGGAAUAUUGGUCAAUGGACGCAAGUCUGAACCAACCACGCCGCGUGGAGGGUGAAGGCCCUCUGGGUUGUAAACUUCUUUUAUAUGGGACGAAAAAGGGUCUUUCUAGAUCAACUGACGGUACCAUGUGAAUAAGCACCGGCUAACUCCGUGCCAGCAGCCGCGGUAAUACGGAGGGUGCAAGCGUUAUCCGGAUUCACUGGGUUUAAAGGGUGCGUAGGUGGGUAUGUAAGUCAGUGGUGAAAUCCCCGAGCUUAACUUGGGAACUGCCGUUGAUACUAUAUAUCUUGAAUGCCGUAGAGGUAAGCGGAAUAUGUCAUGUAGCGGUGAAAUGCUUAGAUAUGACAUAGAACACCAAUUGCGAAGGCAGCUUACUAUGCGGUUAUUGACACUGAGGCACGAAAGCGUGGGUAGCAAACA
Molecule: ribosomal RNA, 422 nt
Filed under: uncultured bacterium
Lineage: Bacteria
Description: bacterial SSU rRNA
Rfam family: Bacterial small subunit ribosomal RNA
Source: RNAcentral